GGGUGUAGUUACCAAACUCAAAACCCUGUGGUCUAAAACCUUGAAAGGAAAUGGUGAAGGAAUUAAAGUCGUCUCCAAUUGCGGACGCCGCGGAGACGGAGUUGAAUUGUUGCGAUAAUGGUGGGUGGUAUGAUGAGAAUCUUUUUUUUUGGGAGUUCUCCGGAUGUUAGGCGUCAAGUGGACGAAUGAGUAUGAAGGGAAAAUUCAAUCUCUUGUUGCGGUCGUUGCCUCCACCGGAGACAUGGUCCACAGCUACGAGCCAUCGGAGUUCAAGGACAUGUUUGGAAUUCUACGAUAUAACGAGAGGUAAUUUGAUAACUGUAAAUGUGUAAUAUAUGUUUUAGGAGCAGUUAAAUUAUGGGAUACUAUUAGAUAUGCGUCACGUGAUAAAUUAAAUUGCCACACUGGUGAAACAUGAGGGGGUGGGUAUCUAUCUAAUCGGUGA
This 445-nucleotide long non-coding RNA is filed under the name Salvia miltiorrhiza (redroot sage). Its description in RNAcentral is "long non-coding RNA (SMIL_LNC000274)". The record is from RNAcentral. Lineage: Eukaryota; Viridiplantae; Streptophyta; Magnoliopsida; Lamiales; Lamiaceae.